Molecule: long non-coding RNA, 461 nt
Organism: Lucilia sericata (common green bottle fly)
Lineage: Eukaryota; Metazoa; Arthropoda; Insecta; Diptera; Calliphoridae
Exons: 5
Source: RefSeq, a predicted model, not a curated record
GGAGUAAAUUCUACCAUUUUUUCUUUAUAAAAACAACUUCCAAUCUAACACACGUGGAAAAAGAAAAUUCAAAAAUAUAUAGAAAAAUGCGUUUAACAAAAGCCAGCUAAAUUUCUUUAGAAUAAAAAACACCACGUGUUUUUUGAGCUGAACAAAUAAUGAAAAUGGCGUCCUAUGGAGACUGAAAAUCUUUCAAGGAUAGAUUUCUUAUUUAAAAGGAUAUCCAUUCUCCACAAGAUGUCUGUUACAAAAAGUUAAUACAUUGAAACUCGCAGAGUUUUUGAACUGAAUUGUUGCAUUUUGUGGAGAAACAUCCAGAAGCAAAAUAGCCCCUCCAAGAUAAUAUUUUUAAUGGGGAAGACAGUUGGCAUGUCAUUCCAAAGAAACCAUGAGAAUUAUUGCGGCAUAAUAAAGAUGUAAAAGUUUAAAGAAAAUAAAAUGUAUUUAUUACAAAAAAAAAA